CAUGCUGUGAGCAGGGCCUAGCAGAGAUGAGACUCACUUCUUUCUAACUUACCCCCCAGCUAAGACAGUCAGAUGCUAAGGGACACAGCAGUUUAAGCGUUUCCCCCCCCUCUGCCUGAUCCCUCGCCUGGCUCCGGUUUGAUGAUUCCUGAUGCCUCUUAUUGGAUUGCUCUGCCUGAUCGGACUGCCUGCCUGUGUCUCCAAGUGAACUGUAGCACCUCGGCGGCUUCUAGAGGACGUGAUUAUAGCUCGCUGCGUUCUGGGCUCCUUCCAUCAGGCCCGGCUGUGGCCCCCAUCCAGCACACCUCUGCCCUCCUCUGCCUCCGCUCUGUAUCCCUGUUGAGAGACGAGCAGAGAGAGUGUCUCACCCGGCUCAUAAACCCACUGUAAACACGUACUCUGUGAAGCCGAUACUGGGAAGAGAAAGCUAAUGUUAUUCUUGCCACCAGAUCCACACAUACUGAACAUACCGUAAUAAAGACUUGCAUAGCGUAAUGUAAAACGUGGAAACAAGGAGGGUAGUUAUAUAUAAACGCUGUAAAUUCUGUUAGCGUUCACUGAAAUAUCAGUUUUAUGUAUCUUUUUAAAAGACGGGUAUGUAUAGCAAGAC
This is a long non-coding RNA of Cottoperca gobio, 610 nucleotides long. RefSeq lists it as uncharacterized. The transcript has 3 exons. Lineage: Eukaryota; Metazoa; Chordata; Actinopteri; Perciformes; Bovichtidae. The record is from RefSeq and is a predicted model, not a curated record.